This 2903-nucleotide ribosomal RNA is filed under the name Escherichia coli 96.154. RNAcentral describes it as "bacterial LSU rRNA". It matches the Rfam family "Bacterial large subunit ribosomal RNA". Lineage: Bacteria; Pseudomonadati; Pseudomonadota; Gammaproteobacteria; Enterobacterales; Enterobacteriaceae. The record is from RNAcentral.
GGUUAAGCGACUAAGCGUACACGGUGGAUGCCCUGGCAGUCAGAGGCGAUGAAGGACGUGCUAAUCUGCGAUAAGCGUCGGUAAGGUGAUAUGAACCGUUAUAACCGGCGAUUUCCGAAUGGGGAAACCCAGUGUGAUUCGUCACACUAUCAUUAACUGAAUCCAUAGGUUAAUGAGGCGAACCGGGGGAACUGAAACAUCUAAGUACCCCGAGGAAAAGAAAUCAACCGAGAUUCCCCCAGUAGCGGCGAGCGAACGGGGAGCAGCCCAGAGCCUGAAUCAGUGUGUGUGUUAGUGGAAGCGUCUGGAAAGGCGUGCGAUACAGGGUGACAGCCCCGUACACAAAAAUGCACAUACUGUGAGCUCGAUGAGUAGGGCGGGACACGUGGUAUCCUGUCUGAAUAUGGGGGGACCAUCCUCCAAGGCUAAAUACUCCUGACUGACCGAUAGUGAACCAGUACCGUGAGGGAAAGGCGAAAAGAACCCCGGCGAGGGGAGUGAAAAAGAACCUGAAACCGUGUACGUACAAGCAGUGGGAGCACGCUUAGGCGUGUGACUGCGUACCUUUUGUAUAAUGGGUCAGCGACUUAUAUUCUGUAGCAAGGUUAACCGAAUAGGGGAGCCGAAGGGAAACCGAGUCUUAACUGGGCGUUAAGUUGCAGGGUAUAGACCCGAAACCCGGUGAUCUAGCCAUGGGCAGGUUGAAGGUUGGGUAACACUAACUGGAGGACCGAACCGACUAAUGUUGAAAAAUUAGCGGAUGACUUGUGGCUGGGGGUGAAAGGCCAAUCAAACCGGGAGAUAGCUGGUUCUCCCCGAAAGCUAUUUAGGUAGCGCCUCGUGAAUUCAUCUCCGGGGGUAGAGCACUGUUUCGGCAAGGGGGUCAUCCCGACUUACCAACCCGAUGCAAACUGCGAAUACCGGAGAAUGUUAUCACGGGAGACACACGGCGGGUGCUAACGUCCGUCGUGAAGAGGGAAACAACCCAGACCGCCAGCUAAGGUCCCAAAGUCAUGGUUAAGUGGGAAACGAUGUGGGAAGGCCCAGACAGCCAGGAUGUUGGCUUAGAAGCAGCCAUCAUUUAAAGAAAGCGUAAUAGCUCACUGGUCGAGUCGGCCUGCGCGGAAGAUGUAACGGGGCUAAACCAUGCACCGAAGCUGCGGCAGCGACGCUUAUGCGUUGUUGGGUAGGGGAGCGUUCUGUAAGCCUGCGAAGGUGUGCUGUGAGGCAUGCUGGAGGUAUCAGAAGUGCGAAUGCUGACAUAAGUAACGAUAAAGCGGGUGAAAAGCCCGCUCGCCGGAAGACCAAGGGUUCCUGUCCAACGUUAAUCGGGGCAGGGUGAGUCGACCCCUAAGGCGAGGCCGAAAGGCGUAGUCGAUGGGAAACAGGUUAAUAUUCCUGUACUUGGUGUUACUGCGAAGGGGGGACGGAGAAGGCUAUGUUGGCCGGGCGACGGUUGUCCCGGUUUAAGCGUGUAGGCUGGUUUUCCAGGCAAAUCCGGAAAAUCAAGGCUGAGGCGUGAUGACGAGGCACUACGGUGCUGAAGCAACAAAUGCCCUGCUUCCAGGAAAAGCCUCUAAGCAUCAGGUAACAUCAAAUCGUACCCCAAACCGACACAGGUGGUCAGGUAGAGAAUACCAAGGCGCUUGAGAGAACUCGGGUGAAGGAACUAGGCAAAAUGGUGCCGUAACUUCGGGAGAAGGCACGCUGAUAUGUAGGUGAAGUCCCUCGCGGAUGGAGCUGAAAUCAGUCGAAGAUACCAGCUGGCUGCAACUGUUUAUUAAAACACAGCACUGUGCAAACACGAAAGUGGACGUAUACGGUGUGACGCCUGCCCGGUGCCGGAAGGUUAAUUGAUGGGGUCAGCGCAAGCGAAGCUCUUGAUCGAAGCCCCGGUAAACGGCGGCCGUAACUAUAACGGUCCUAAGGUAGCGAAAUUCCUUGUCGGGUAAGUUCCGACCUGCACGAAUGGCGUAAUGAUGGCCAGGCUGUCUCCACCCGAGACUCAGUGAAAUUGAACUCGCUGUGAAGAUGCAGUGUACCCGCGGCAAGACGGAAAGACCCCGUGAACCUUUACUAUAGCUUGACACUGAACAUUGAGCCUUGAUGUGUAGGAUAGGUGGGAGGCUUUGAAGUGUGGACGCCAGUCUGCAUGGAGCCGACCUUGAAAUACCACCCUUUAAUGUUUGAUGUUCUAACGUUGACCCGUGAUCCGGGUUGCGGACAGUGUCUGGUGGGUAGUUUGACUGGGGCGGUCUCCUCCUAAAGAGUAACGGAGGAGCACGAAGGUUGGCUAAUCCUGGUCGGACAUCAGGAGGUUAGUGCAAUGGCAUAAGCCAGCUUGACUGCGAGCGUGACGGCGCGAGCAGGUGCGAAAGCAGGUCAUAGUGAUCCGGUGGUUCUGAAUGGAAGGGCCAUCGCUCAACGGAUAAAAGGUACUCCGGGGAUAACAGGCUGAUACCGCCCAAGAGUUCAUAUCGACGGCGGUGUUUGGCACCUCGAUGUCGGCUCAUCACAUCCUGGGGCUGAAGUAGGUCCCAAGGGUAUGGCUGUUCGCCAUUUAAAGUGGUACGCGAGCUGGGUUUAGAACGUCGUGAGACAGUUCGGUCCCUAUCUGCCGUGGGCGCUGGAGAACUGAGGGGGGCUGCUCCUAGUACGAGAGGACCGGAGUGGACGCAUCACUGGUGUUCGGGUUGUCAUGCCAAUGGCACUGCCCGGUAGCUAAAUGCGGAAGAGAUAAGUGCUGAAAGCAUCUAAGCACGAAACUUGCCCCGAGAUGAGUUCUCCCUGACUCCUUGAGAGUCCUGAAGGAACGUUGAAGACGACGACGUUGAUAGGCCGGGUGUGUAAGCGCAGCGAUGCGUUGAGCUAACCGGUACUAAUGAACCGUGAGGCUUAACCUU